GGAAUAUUGGACAAUGGGCGCAAGCCUGAUCCAGCCAUGCCGCGUGAGUGACGAAGGCCUUAGGGUUGUAAAGCUCUUUUGGCGGGGACGAUAAUGACCGUACCGGGAGAAUAAGCCCCGGCUAACUCCGUGCCAGCAGCCGCGGUAAUACGGAGGGGGCUAGCGUUGUUCGGAAUUACUGGGCGUAAAGCGCACGUAGGCGGCUUUGUAAGUUAGAGGUGAAAGCCCGGAGCUCAACUCCGGAACUGCCUUUAAGACUGCAUCGCUUGAACGUCGGAGAGGUAAGUGGAAUUCCGAGUGUAGAGGUGAAAUUCGUAGAUAUUCGGAAGAACACCAGUGGCGAAGGCGACUUACUGGACGACUGUUGACGCUGAGGUGCGAAAGCGUGGGGAGCAAA
RNAcentral lists this ribosomal RNA (397 nucleotides) under uncultured bacterium. RNAcentral's name for it is "bacterial SSU rRNA". It matches the Rfam family "Bacterial small subunit ribosomal RNA", at positions 358 to 772 of the family's 1533-position model. The record is from RNAcentral.